RNAcentral lists this ribosomal RNA (632 nucleotides) under Coemansia pectinata. RNAcentral describes it as "eukaryotic LSU rRNA". It matches the Rfam family "Eukaryotic large subunit ribosomal RNA", at positions 78 to 501 of the family's 3401-position model. Lineage: Eukaryota; Fungi; Kickxellomycota; Kickxellomycetes; Kickxellales; Kickxellaceae. The record is from RNAcentral.
CCCUAGUAACGGCGAGUGAAGCGGGAACAGCUCAAGACGGUAAUCCUUGCUAUCACUAGCAAGGAGUUGUAGUCUAUGGACGUUGCUACUGCGGUGUGUGUUGCGGCCCAAGUCCCUUGGAACAGGGCGCCAGAGAGGGUGACAGCCCCGUCCGGCCGCAGCGACGCCAGUAUGUGCGGCAGUCCGAGAGUCGGGUUGUUUGGGAAUGCAGCCCUAAGCGGGAGGUACACACCUUCCAAAGCUAAAUAUUCAGGCAAGAGACCGAUAGCGAACAAGUACCGUGAGGGAAAGUUGAAAAGCACUCUGGAGAGAGAGUGAAAAGUACGUGAAACCACUGGUAGGGAACCGCUUGCACGGGACAGUGAGCGGCAGGUCGAUUUAUCGGCUUGUCGCCGCCCAGCACGAGUUUGCGCUGCCAGAGAAGCGCUCGGCAAAGGUAGCACCCUCCGGGGUGUGUUAUAGGGCCGGGCGCGCACUGGUGGCGUGGACUGAGGACAGCGGCACCCCCUUUAUUGGGGCGUCGGCGACAACGGCGAGGCCCUGUUGGGCACGCGGGCAAGACAGCAUGCUGACUUGUUUGCGUGGCUGGCAGGCUACCUUGUCUCGCACGGCGUAGUUGCCAUGGGUGGCUG